AGUGAACGCUGGCGGUAGGCCUAACACAUGCAAGUCGAACGGCAGCACAGUAAGAGCUUGCUCUUACGGGUGGCGAGUGGCGGACGGGUGAGGAAUACAUCGGAAUCUACUUUUUCGUGGGGGAUAACGUAGGGAAACUUACGCUAAUACCGCAUACGACCUACGGGUGAAAGCAGGGGAUCUUCGGACCUUGCGCGAUUGAAUGAGCCGAUGUCGGAUUAGCUAGUUGGCGGGGUAAAGGCCCACCAAGGCGACGAUGCGUAGCUGGUCUGAGAGGAUGAUCAGCCACACUGGAACUGAGACACGGUCCAGACUCCUACGGGAGGCAGCAGUGGGGAAUAUUGGGCAAUGGGCGCAAGCCUGAUCCAGCCAUGCCGCGUGAGUGAAGAAGGCCUUCGGCUUGUAAAGCCCCUUUGUUGGGAAAGAAAAGCAGCAGGUUAAUACCCCGCUGUUCUGACGGUACCCAAAGAAUAAGCACCGGCUAACUUCGUG
RNAcentral lists this ribosomal RNA (492 nucleotides) under uncultured bacterium. Its description in RNAcentral is "partial 16S ribosomal RNA". It matches the Rfam family "Bacterial small subunit ribosomal RNA", at positions 29 to 507 of the family's 1533-position model. The record is from RNAcentral.